CCUACGGGUGGCAGCAGUGAGGAAUAUUGGUCAAUGGCCGCAACUCUGAACCAGCCAAGUAGCGUGAAGGACGACGGCCCUAUGGGUUGUAAACUGCUUUUAUGCGGGGCUAAAAUGAGCCACGUGUGGCAUACUGCAGGUACCUCCUGAAUAAGGACCGGGUAAUUCCGUGCCAGCACCCGCGGUAAUACGGAGGGUCCGGGCGUUAUCCGGAUUUAUUGGGUUUAAAGGGGGCUAAGGCGGUUCGUUAAGCGCGUUGUGAAAGGUUGCGGCUCAACCGUAAAAUUGCAAUGGAAACUGGAAGGCUUGAGUACAGUUGAGGUAGGCGGAAUUCGUGGUGUAGCGGUGAAAUGCUUAGAUAUCACGAAGAACUCCGAUUGCGAAGGCAGCUUACCAAACUGUUACUGACGCUGAGGCUCGAAAGUGCGGGUAUCGAACAGGAUUAGAUACCCCGGUAGUC
This 460-nucleotide ribosomal RNA is filed under the name uncultured bacterium. Its description in RNAcentral is "partial 16S ribosomal RNA". It matches the Rfam family "Bacterial small subunit ribosomal RNA", at positions 338 to 795 of the family's 1533-position model. The record is from RNAcentral.